CCGCCCCGUUCCCGGCUGGCUGGGGAAGGGGCGUCCGGAGCCGCAGUGGCCCAGGAACAACUACAGCCCGUCGGGGACGAGAGAGAUGGGGGCGGGCGUUAGAAACGCGUUCUCCGCUGCGUGAGGCUGUGGCCUAGACCUCGGCGCGUUUCAUCUCCGGCGUACUCCUCGGGGAGAGCCGGGAGGUCCUCCUCACUCUGUGACCUACGCUGUGGCAGUUGGGAAAGGACCUGAGAAAGUGACAAAAGGCGAUGCUCCGGUCACAGCAGGGGCCCAGAAGGGCGCCCACAAGGGAUCUGAGCACGCCUGGCCCCUGGCUUCCCGAGGAGGGUUGCGCCUUAAGUGGGGUGCGCGAGGACCGGGCGGGCUCCGGGGCAACAAGGCCCCACAGUCCCAGGGGUGCUCGCGGUGACCUGGUGGGGCUACUGGUGGGUCGGCCCCGCAGCCGUGAGCCAAGGAAACAGGGCCGGUGGCACUGACGCUCCUGUGAGAACCUAACUGCCACCUGAGGCGUCCAUGCGGGCCUGGCCAGGAGCGCCUCGAGGAGCCCAGGCAGAUGAGGAAACUGAAGCUUGUGCCAAACGAGGAAAGGAAUUCGGGUCAGGUCACACAGCUAGUAGAUCUCAGGGCUGGGCUUUGAAUGCACCCUGGCCUACACAGGAAGUUCAAGGCCAACGUGAGCUACUUACAGACCUUCAAAAAAACUAGAAAAUGUAAAAAUAAAG
Molecule: long non-coding RNA, 725 nt
Filed under: Heterocephalus glaber (naked mole-rat)
Lineage: Eukaryota; Metazoa; Chordata; Mammalia; Rodentia; Bathyergidae
Description: lncRNA (ENSHGLG00100041364.1)
Source: RNAcentral